GCGUCUGUCCUGCACCUCACACCCAACUCGGUUUAAAUAGUUUCAGCUGGUGUACCUAGCCCUCCUUCCCGGC
This 73-nucleotide transfer RNA is filed under the name uncultured Synechococcus sp. RNAcentral describes it as "tRNA-Ala". Lineage: Bacteria; Bacillati; Cyanobacteriota; Cyanophyceae; Synechococcales; Synechococcaceae. The record is from RNAcentral.